CCCUUAGAUGUUCUGGGCCGCACGCGCGCUACACUGAUGCAUUCAACGAGUCUAAAACCUGCUCUGAUAGGGGUGGGUAAUCUUUUGAAUGUGCAUCGUGAUUGGGAUAGAUGAUUGCAAUUUUUCAUCUUCAACGAGGAAUGCCUAGUAAACGCAAGUCAUCAGCUUGCAUUGAUUACGUCCCUGCCCUUUGUACACACCGCCCGUCGCUCCUACCGAUUGAAUGAUCCGAUGAAUAUCAUGGAUUGAGGAUGCAAGUAGGUUCGCCUAUCUUCAUCUUCGAGAAGUGAAGUAAAUCUUAUCAUUUAGAGGAAGGAGAAGUCAUAACA
Molecule: ribosomal RNA, 329 nt
Filed under: uncultured eukaryote
Lineage: Eukaryota
Description: partial 18S ribosomal RNA
Rfam family: Eukaryotic small subunit ribosomal RNA
Source: RNAcentral